Molecule: transfer RNA, 89 nt
Filed under: Bertelyvirus sp.
Lineage: Duplodnaviria; Heunggongvirae; Uroviricota; Caudoviricetes; Jeanschmidtviridae
Also listed under: 5 other names
Description: tRNA-Ser
Rfam family: tRNA
About the family: Transfer RNA (tRNA) molecules are approximately 80 nucleotides in length. Their secondary structure includes four short double-helical elements and three loops (D, anti-codon, and T loops). Further hydrogen bonds mediate the characteristic L-shaped molecular structure. tRNAs have two regions of fundamental functional importance: the anti-codon, which is responsible for specific mRNA codon recognition, and the 3' end, to which the tRNAs corresponding amino acid is attached (by aminoacyl-tRNA synthetases). tRNAs cope with the degeneracy of the genetic code in two manners: having more than one tRNA (with a specific anti-codon) for a particular amino acid; and 'wobble' base-pairing, i.e. permitting non-standard base-pairing at the 3rd anti-codon position.
Source: RNAcentral
GGAAGGAUGGCUGAGCCGGCUGAAAGCACCCGCCUGGAAAGUGGGUCGACCUCACAAGGGUCGCGGGGGUUCGAAUCCCUCUCCUUCCG